CCUCUUCGACUUGUUGGGGACAGAUAUAAUGUACAUGUGCGUCGAUGGCGCCGGCAGUGAGGAUGAGUUUUUCGCCUGCGAUGACUUCGGUGGAGGAGCCGAUGACGAGGGAUGGGUAGACGUUGGCCAUGACGUCUGGGUUGCCGGCUUUUCCGAUACCAGCGAUACGGCCGUCUUUGACACCGACAUCCGCCUGUCGUCAAAAAGGGCUUGUGAAUGGAAAGGAGGAGGAAGAAAGAAACAGGUGAUUCAACCUUGUAGAUACCGGACCAAUCCACGAUCAAAGCGUUCGUGAUAACCAAGUCGAGAGCUUCAGAAGAAGAUCGAUUCGUAGCUUGGCCCAUGCCUUCGCGGAUG
Molecule: small RNA, 357 nt
Filed under: Collybiopsis luxurians FD-317 M1
Lineage: Eukaryota; Fungi; Basidiomycota; Agaricomycetes; Agaricales; Omphalotaceae
Description: Gymnopus luxurians FD-317 M1 5' ureB small RNA
Rfam family: 5' ureB small RNA
Source: Rfam by way of RNAcentral